Molecule: long non-coding RNA, 576 nt
Organism: Mauremys reevesii (Reeves's turtle)
Lineage: Eukaryota; Metazoa; Chordata; Testudines; Geoemydidae
Exons: 4
Source: RefSeq, a predicted model, not a curated record
GAGGAGAUCACUCUCAGAUCCAGCCCCACCUCUUGUCCUGCGCGAUGUGACUUCUCAAUUACCUGAUAGGAAAAAAGAGGGAAGAUGGUAUCCAGCACUUGACUUCCAUCUAGAGCUGUGACCAUGAUGCUCUGGUCAGUGAGUCGAGGUGCCAAGAACAAUGUGAUAAAACAGUGGUAAUGAUGCAUCAGACUCCCCUCGGUGAAAAUCCAUGUACCUCCAGUGACUUCAAUGGAUCUAGGCCAACUUGCACCACGUGAGAAUCUGGCCCAACAUUGUACCCAGUUGUAGAGCAGCCCAUACAGUACAGAACGAAGGGCCCAGGAACACGAGACACAGCAUGGUGAAUGUGUUUGACUGAUGACUACGGAUCUCAAGCAAUGCACCCUGUGGGAAAAGAGCAGCAUGUGAGACCUUCUCCUCAAAGAAAAGGAUUUCAGCUCACACCACCCUUCUGCAACAACAUAUCAGUUCUGCAGUGCAAUGCAUUAAAUAGCUGCUAUGUGGUACCCAGUCACAAAGCAGCCCAUGGAACUAACUGUCUCACUACCAGCCUCUCUGGUCAUCCCUCCUUUC